RNAcentral lists this ribosomal RNA (1451 nucleotides) under uncultured organism. RNAcentral's name for it is "SSU rRNA". It matches the Rfam family "Bacterial small subunit ribosomal RNA". The record is from RNAcentral.
CAUAUUGAACGCUGGCGGCAGGCCUAACACAUGCAAGUCGAACGGUAACAGGAAGAAGCUUGCUUCUUUGCUGACGAGUGGCGGACGGGUGAGUAAUGUCUGGGAAACUGCCUGAUGGAGGGGGAUAACUACUGGAAACGGUAGCUAAUACCGCAUAACGUCGCAAGACCAAAGAGGGGGACCUUCGGGCCUCUUGCCAUCGGAUGUGCCCAGAUGGGAUUAGCUAGUAGGUGGGGUAAAGGCUCACCUAGGCGACGAUCCCUAGCUGGUCUGAGAGGAUGACCAGCCACACUGGAACUGAGACACGGUCCAGACUCCUACGGGAGGCAGCAGUGGGGAAUAUUGCACAAUGGGCGCAAGCCUGAUGCAGCCAUGCCGCGUGUAUGAAGAAGGCCUUCGGGUUGUAAAGUACUUUCAGCGGGGAGGAAGGGAGUAAAGUUAAUACCUUUGCUCAUUGACGUUACCCGCAGAAGAAGCACCGGCUAACUCCGUGCCAGCAGCCGCGGUAAUACGGAGGGUGCAAGCGUUAAUCGGAAUUACUGGGCGUAAAGCGCACGCAGGCGGUUUGUUAAGUCAGAUGUGAAAUCCCCGGGCUCAACCUGGGAACUGCAUCUGAUACUGGCAAGCUUGAGUCUCGUAGAGGGGGGUAGAAUUCCAGGUGUAGCGGUGAAAUGCGUAGAGAUCUGGAGGAAUACCGGUGGCGAAGGCGGCCCCCUGGACGAAGACUGACGCUCAGGUGCGAAAGCGUGGGGAACAAACAGGAUUAGAUACCCCUGGUAGUCCACGCCGUAAACGAUGUCGACUUGGAGGUUGUGCCCUUGAGGCGUGGCUUCCGGAGCUAACGCGUUAAGUCGACCGCCUGGGGAGUACGGCCGCAAGGUUAAAACUCAAAUGAAUUGACGGGGGCCCGCACAAGCGGUGGAGCAUGUGGUUUAAUUCGAUGCAACGCGAAGAACCUUACCUGGUCUUGACAUCCACAGAACCUUGUAGAGAUACGAGGGUGCCUUCGGGAACUGUGAGACAGGUGCUGCAUGGCUGUCGUCAGCUCGUGUUGUGAAAUGUUGGGUUAAGUCCCGCAACGAGCGCAACCCUUAUCCUUUGUUGCCAGCGGUCCGGCCGGGAACUCAAAGGAGACUGCCAGUGAUAAACUGGAGGAAGGUGGGGAUGACGUCAAGUCAUCAUGGCCCUUACGACCAGGGCUACACACGUGCUACAAUGGCGCAUACAAAGAGAAGCGACCUCGCGAGAGCAAGCGGACCUCAUAAAGUGCGUCGUAGUCCGGAUUGGAGUCUGCAACUCGACUCCAUGAAGUCGGAAUCGCUAGUAAUCGUGGAUCAGAAUGCCACGGUGAAUACGUUCCCGGGCCUUGUACACACCGCCCGUCACACCAUGGGAGUGGGUUGCAAAAGAAGUAGGUAGCUUAACCUUCGGGAGGGCGCUUACCACUUUGU